CCGCCGCCUAGUCCUGGGCGGGCGGCUCUGGGACCCGCGCUCCGAGCGUUCCUCCUCCGCUGCUGUCUCUGUUCCGGCUCCGGCUCACUGGGUCUUGGCCUCUUUCUCCAGCAAGGGCCGAUGCAGGGCAGCACCGACAGACAGACUGAUGAAUAGCCCGACGAAAAUCUGCCAGCCUGAGUUCGCAGAGCUUCUUUCGGCAGGGAAGUUCCCUCUCGAAAGUUUUGGUACCGCACCCAGGAGCCAUCGCACCCAGGAGCCGGAGCCGCAGCCGCCCGAGCCUCCCGAGCCGCCCGAGCCGCCCGAGCCUCCAGAACGGAAGCCGCUAGCCUGGGUCCAGAGGAGACCCUCUCAGAUUCUCGGUGUCCUGGGACCUUCGUUCCCCGCCAAGGAAUUAUUAGCGUCCUUUGUCUCUAACAGUUCCUUUAACCGAUCCAGCCAACCUGGGAGCGGGCCUGGCCCUGGACACUGAAGGGUCGGAGGCCGCUGGCGUUUGCUCCUCUGGAGGAUCCCGCUGGCCCAGGGGCGCACCCACCAGAGAUGAGAAAAGGCGUAGACUCUCCUAUUAAUAGCCCUUCCCUUGCGGACUAUAACCCAGACCAAAACGAACGCUCUGAGUCUGGUCUGGCUCGGCCACCCGAAGGACCCUCAACCAGGCCCUGUCCAGCUUUCUCGGUCUCCCUGUAGCUAGCCUUCCGCCUGAGGUGGAGGCCGGGCACUGAAUUGGAUGCUACCUCCCCAUUUGUCUGGCACUACAACUCUGACCCUGCAGUUCUGAAAGGUCACUCCGUUUGACUUGGGUUCCCCCAGGCAAUCCCGAUUCCCGCUAUUCACCCAGCCAACCCCAGUCUCCUGUUAAAGCUGUCUCACUCCGCCAGGGAAAUGGAAAGAGCCAUGGCCUAAAAUUCAGAAGCACGAGGUUUAAAUCGGGUUCUGCUACGGUCACUGUGUAAGCCCCUUCCCUUCUCUGGGCCUCAGUUUCCUUCUCUAUAAAAUGAAGGGGUUGGGACUCCAAGGUCCCUCCCAGA
Molecule: long non-coding RNA, 1028 nt
Filed under: Phascolarctos cinereus (koala)
Lineage: Eukaryota; Metazoa; Chordata; Mammalia; Diprotodontia; Phascolarctidae
Description: lncRNA (ENSPCIG00000030968.1)
Source: RNAcentral